RNAcentral lists this ribosomal RNA (429 nucleotides) under Chloroflexota bacterium. RNAcentral's name for it is "Chloroflexi bacterium partial 16S ribosomal RNA". It matches the Rfam family "Bacterial small subunit ribosomal RNA", at positions 355 to 776 of the family's 1533-position model. The record is from RNAcentral. Lineage: Bacteria; Bacillati; Chloroflexota.
UGGGGAAUAUUGCACAAUGGGCGCAAGCCUGAUGCAGCCAUGCCGCGUGUAUGAAGAAGGCCUUCGGGUUGUAAAGUACUUUCAGUCGGGAGGAAGGUGUCAAGGUUAAUAACCUUGGCAAUUGACGUUACCGACAGAAGAAGCACCGGCUAACUCCGUGCCAGCAGCCGCGGUAAUACGGAGGGUGCAAGCGUUAAUCGGAAUUACUGGGCGUAAAGCGCACGCAGGCGGUUGAUUGAGUCAGAUGUGAAAUCCCCGGGCUUAACCCUGGAAUUGCAUCUGAUACUGGUCAGCUAGAGUCUUGUAGAGGGGGGUAGAAUUCCAUGUGUAGCGGUGAAAUGCGUAGAGAUGUGGAGGAAUACCGGUGGCGAAGGCGGCCCCCUGGACAAAGACUGACGCUCAGGUGCGAAAGCGUGGGGAGCAAACAGG